Long non-coding RNA from Octopus sinensis (East Asian common octopus), 147 nucleotides. RefSeq lists it as uncharacterized. The transcript has 3 exons. Lineage: Eukaryota; Metazoa; Mollusca; Cephalopoda; Octopoda; Octopodidae. The record is from RefSeq and is a predicted model, not a curated record.
CACACGACUGGCUCCCACACAGUUUCCAUCAAUUAAUUCACUCUGGCGACCCGCACUUAUAGUAGAAAUCACUAGCCCGAGGUGCUGCGUAUUGGAGCCACAAGGCUGCAAAGAUAUCACCAGAAAAAGUCGUACACCAAAGUGCCA